Molecule: long non-coding RNA, 2415 nt
Organism: Homo sapiens (human)
Lineage: Eukaryota; Metazoa; Chordata; Mammalia; Primates; Hominidae
Gene: HULC
Product: hepatocellular carcinoma up-regulated long non-coding RNA
Source: Ensembl
GGGGUAGAGACGCUAGGCCGGCACUGCCUAGGUGGGCCGGGCGGUGCGAGGGUCGCCUUUCAGCCUUUACCUCUACCCACUGAAAUGGAGUAGGUCGGUGAGCGCCGAUCUGCUGGAGAAUCUCAUUAUCCCAUCGGCGCUCUGCCUGCUCCUGGCCUCCAAGCCUCUGAAGCCCCUCGGGUUUCAGCUGCCGGCUACCCUCGAGCCCGUGGUGCCCACGAGAGAGGCGACUUUACGUCAGCGGCCCUGGGCUGAGAUUUGAGAACGCGACCAAGUGGAGAAUGUUGGAGCCAGAUUUUAAAAUCCUUGUCUUCCUUCUGCGUGCUACUUGAUCUAAAUGAGAUACGGCAAAGUCACAGAACCUGUUUUUAUGUUUUUGCCUGAUUCAUACGGGCUUCUCCGGUGAAGAUGGGCCUGAAGUAACGCUUGGGUUGCUUCUGACGUUAUAACUCAUCCUGUAGCUGCAGCAACCGUGGUCCUUGCAACCUCAUAAAAAUGUUGCCAGCAUUGUUUCGAUAGUGCUGCUUAAUUCUUGGAAGGUUCUUCGGACUUCACACAUUCCAGCAGUAGCUCUCUCAGCUCCUGUCCUGCACAGCUUUGAAGUGCUGAAACAGAGAAGAGUAUGAGAAGUGUUACAGAACAUGAAGAUACCCUUGUGGCUCAAACAUACUUAUUUUUAAAAACUCUAAAAGUCUAAAUGUGUCUGUAUCUGGAUAUAUUUUCAGUCAACUUAUGCUGUGUUGGGUAAAGGGUCUUGCUCCGUUGUCCAGAUUGGAGUGCAAUGGCAUGAUCAUGGCUCACUGCAGUCUUGACCUCCAAGGCUCAAGUGGUCCUCCUGCCUUAACGUUCUGAGUAGCUGAACCACAGGUGUACGCCACCACACCUGGCUAUAAAUAACUGCACGAGACUGGGUAACUUAAAAAGGAAAGAGGUUUAAUUGACUCAUAAUUCAGCAUGGCUGGGGAGGCCUCAGGAAACUUACAGUCAUGGUGGAAUGCGAAGGAAAAGAAAGGCGCCUUCUUCACAAGUCAGUAGGAAGAAGUGCCGAGUGAAGGGGGAAGAGCCCCUUAUAAACCCGUUAGAUCUUGUGAGAACUCAGUCGCUAUCACGAGAACAGCAUGGGGGAAAUUGCCCCCAUGAUUCAAUUACCACCACCUGGUCUCUCUCUUCACAUGUAGGGAUUAUGGGGCUUAUGGGGAUUACAAUUCAAGAUAAGAUUUGGGUGGGGACACAAAGCUUAGCCAUAUCACCUGGCUAAUUAAACAAAUAUUUGUAGAGAUGGUAUUUUGCCAUAAUGGCCAGGCUGGUCUCAAACUCCUGGCCUCAAGUAAUCCUUCCAUCUUGGCCUCCCAAAGUGGUGGGAUUACAGGCAUGAGCCACCACGCCUGGCCCACAGGAUUCUUUAUAUAUUCUCUAUAUAAGAUUUUUUCAAUAAUGUGUCACAAAUAUCUUCUUUUAGCUUGGAGUUUAUGUUUUUACUCUAUGGUAACUUUUAAUGACCGGACAUCUUUCUUUUUAAUGUAGCUGAAUUUAUCAAUAUUUUCUUUAUAGAUUCAUGUUGUGUCUUGCUUAAGAAAUACUUUCUACCUUAGGUCAUAAGGAUGCUUUCUUAUAUUAUCUUUUAAAGACUUUAUGUUUUUGCCUUUCAUAUUGAUUGUCAAUCAACCAGUAACUAUUUGUUUCUUUUUGAUAUAUGCAUGGUGUGAUGUAGGAAUCAGAUAACAGUUUUUGACAAGGGUAAUUAAAAUGCCUAGUAGCUUUGGAAUACCUCAUCUUUUUCCCAGUGAUCUGAAGUUUCCUAUGUAUUAUAUGUCAUUACAAACCAUUUUUGCAUGCAUUUGUUUCUGGGCUUUCUAUUCCAUUCAUGGGUCUAUUUAUCUGUGCAUAUAUAUAGACUACAGUUCUUAGUUAUAUAGCUUUAUAGUAAAUCUUAAAAUCCAUUUGCUUAACAUUCCUCUCCAACUUGGUGGCUAUUUGGGGGCUUUUGUUCUUACAAAUAAAUUAUAAAAUCAACUUUAAUUUCAAAAAUAAUAAUAACAAUGGCACAUCCUGUUGGGAUUCAAUUUGAAUUCUCUACAGAUUAAUUUUGGGAGAAUAUACAUAUUCAUGAUAGGGUCUACUCAACAACAGGGGAUAUCUGUCUAUUUGCUUAGGAAUCUUUAAUGUCUCUCAAUAAAACCUUAUAAUUUAAUCCAUAAAGGCAUGCCUGUAUUUUGUUGAAUUUAUUUCUUGAUACAUGUUAUUUUAAUUUCUAUUGUACACAUUAAAAAGUUAUGUUUUUGAUUGUUGCUGGUGUAAACAUUUGCAUUUGAAUUUUUUGCACUGAUUUUUUGUCCCCAAAUUGUUUGUGCCAUCACCAAUAUAAAACUUAUUUGUAGAUGUCUUUGGAUUUUCUUGAAGAAAAUAAAACAGUCA